GACGUCGUAGUGUAGUGGCAAGCACGCCCGCCGAUUAGAGGAUUACCGGCGAUGAAAGCGGGAAGCACGGGUUCGAUUCCCGACGACGUCA
RNAcentral lists this transfer RNA (91 nucleotides) under Rhodospirillales bacterium. RNAcentral's name for it is "tRNA-OTHER". It matches the Rfam family "tRNA". From Rfam's summary of the family: Transfer RNA (tRNA) molecules are approximately 80 nucleotides in length. Their secondary structure includes four short double-helical elements and three loops (D, anti-codon, and T loops). Lineage: Bacteria; Pseudomonadati; Pseudomonadota; Alphaproteobacteria; Rhodospirillales. The record is from RNAcentral.